Molecule: non-coding RNA, 132 nt
Filed under: Frankia canadensis
Lineage: Bacteria; Bacillati; Actinomycetota; Actinomycetes; Frankiales; Frankiaceae
Description: TPP
Rfam family: TPP riboswitch aptamer (THI element)
About the family: Vitamin B(1) in its active form thiamin pyrophosphate (TPP) is an essential coenzyme that is synthesised by coupling of pyrimidine and thiazole moieties in bacteria.
Source: RNAcentral
CCCCAGCACACGGGAGCUCCCACCCAAGGGGGCUGAGAGGGCGGCUGCCGGGCAUUCCGAGCCCGAGCGGGGCCGCCGACCGCCGAACCUGUCCGGGUAAUGCCGGCGUAGGGAGCGUGUGCUGGUAUGUCG